This 250-nucleotide ribosomal RNA is filed under the name uncultured bacterium. Its description in RNAcentral is "partial 16S ribosomal RNA". It matches the Rfam family "Bacterial small subunit ribosomal RNA", at positions 118 to 348 of the family's 1533-position model. The record is from RNAcentral.
UGGGUAACCUGCCUCAAAGAGGGGAAUAGCCUCCCGAAAGGGAGAUUAAUACCGCAUAAUAUGUUUUAGUCGCAUGACUUAAAACAUCAAAGGAUUUUUCUUUUUAGAAAAUUUCCACUUUGAGAUGGACCCGCGGCGCAUUAGCUAGUUGGUGAGGUAACGGCUCACCAAGGCAACGAUGCGUAGCCGACCUGAGAGGGUGAUCGGCCACAUUGGAACUGAGACACGGUCCAGACCUCCGUAGGGACGG